Molecule: small RNA, 109 nt
Organism: Actinomyces graevenitzii C83
Lineage: Bacteria; Bacillati; Actinomycetota; Actinomycetes; Actinomycetales; Actinomycetaceae
Rfam family: Actinomyces-1 RNA
Source: Rfam
ACUACCGCCAGAGGUUAGCGGUCGCGAGGGUUGGGGAGCCUGAUGACCGGCCGAGAGCUAGUUGGACUGAGGUUUAAGGGAGCCUACAGUGAACGUUCUGGCGAAGGAG